AAAUGCUGCAGGUUCUUUGGAGUUGUAAUAAGUCACAUUUUGAAGGCCAUUUGUGUUGGUCUGCUGUGGAUUGUCUCUGUACUUAUUGAUGGAGACUGGUAUGUUUGCUGUAACGUGGGUCAGUCUGAACAACAAGCAAAGAUAGCCUGCAGUGACAGAACUAACAUCACAAGUGAGGAAAAAGAAAUCAUCACUGAAGAGAAAAAUGUUUCCAGGAGAUACGGCUUUGGUCUGCUCUUUUUCAUCAUUCUUUUGGUGGCCCUCAAGUCAUUGUGCUGUUGGAGGAAAUGCUUCAACUGCUGGGACAGCAGAAGAACUUUUUUUGACCUGGUGAUCUUGACAGAGGAGGGGAACGUUUGGAAAGAGAUUCUGAAGGAAGCAGGAAAAGAGGAGUUGACUAGAAAAAUCUAUAACAAAAUAGCUGAAAAUCAGUGCGAUGAAUAUGAUGUUGCUGCAGAAAUGAUUAAGAAUUCUGAAAAACCAAAACUUUCUAAAAAACAACAAAAAGAAUUGAGAGAACUACAGCAGGAACAACAGCAACUGUAUAUGUAUUCUUGAUAGUUGUGCUGUUCAACUUUUAACUUCUCUUCUUUCUUCCUCUGUGUGGCCCUUUUAGGAUUUUUUUUAGUGUACUUUGAAUUUUCUUUGAUAAAAUAUAUAAAUAUGGAGAUAAUGUCUUGGCGUUGGUGCAGAAAUGUAAAUUACUUUGACUUUGUAAGCUGAGUAUAAAAUCUUGCAGACCUUUAACUGAAACCUGUUGUACAUGCUGUUGAUUCAGUUAUGGUUUAUUUUGUUCCCGCUUUAUUUUUACUCUGAGCAAGGUGAAUGUAAUUUAUGUCACAAACAGUAGUAAUAAGUUCUUUAGUUGCACAUAAAUCUGAGUUUAAUCAUUUACAUCGACCUUGUUUUUAUUUCUUUGCCAUUCUGUACAAAUUUUGUUGUCAGCCCUAAAAUAAAAUACAAUUUCAUUAAAAUAUUUUUUGUAAUCUUUGAGGUUUAACCACUACAAACAAAAGUGCUUAGAAAUCCUGAUGUACCAUAUCAGGUACUAUAAAGCACAUUUAAUCAUGUCUUUUGUGCAUUUCAAAUUAGGACUGUUACGACAGAUCGUAAUCAUGUGUGAAUUUGAGUGUCCAGGUGCUCCUCCGGGAUUGGUGCAUCCAGGGUGGAUGGCUCACACCGAUUGGCUGAGGACUGGGAGGCAGCGGAUAAGAAGAGACCGCCUGGGACUGCCAAUUCAUUCAUCCUCGGCUCAACCCAACCGGCAGACCGUUCACUGUGUCAAAAUAUUAUGUUAAUGUAAGAGCAUGUAGGGGUGGACCGCCUUUUUGUUUGAUCAGUUUUCUCCUGUUUUUGUUAGGCAGGGAGGGAAGUGAUUGUCGUUUGGUUUAGUUCUUUUGAGCAGGUAAGUUGUGUUUAUUCCUGAGAUAGGUUACUUUUUGUUUGUUGUUUUGGCCUUGGGUUCACCCUGAAGUUAUGAUAUGCUCCCUUCCUUUGUUUAACUGCACUUAUUGUAAAUAAAUCAGUCACAAAA
Molecule: long non-coding RNA, 1534 nt
Organism: Astatotilapia calliptera (eastern happy)
Lineage: Eukaryota; Metazoa; Chordata; Actinopteri; Cichliformes; Cichlidae
Source: Ensembl